Molecule: ribosomal RNA, 776 nt
Filed under: uncultured Neocallimastigales
Lineage: Eukaryota; Fungi; Neocallimastigomycota; Neocallimastigomycetes; Neocallimastigales
Description: partial large subunit ribosomal RNA
Rfam family: Eukaryotic large subunit ribosomal RNA
Source: RNAcentral
UUACUAGAGUAGCACUCGCAUAUCAAUAAGCGGAGGAAAAGAAACUAACAAGGAUUCCCCUAGUAACGGCGAGUGAAGCGGGAAGAGCUCAAAUUUGAAAUCUUAAAGGGUUUCCCUUUACGAAUUGUAGUUUAAAGAAGUGUUUUCUGUUGAGGUUUUGGUAAAAGUUCUUUGGAAUAGGACAUCAUAGAGGGUGAGAAUCCCGUAUUUGACCCUUACUUUCAACUUUGUGAUACACUUUCAAAGAGUCGGAUUGUUUGGGAAUGCAGUCCAAAAUGGGUGGUAAAUUUCAUCUAAAGCUAAAUAUUGGCGAGAGACCGAUAGCGAACAAGUACCGUGAGGGAAAGAUGAAAAGAACUUUGAAAAGAGAGUUAAACAGUACGUGAAAUUGUCAAAAGGGAAGCGUUUGACACCAGUGUUGUUUUUCUGAAAAUCAAUUAAAGAACUGUUUAUGCUAAGCUGUUUAGACUUUAUCAGCUAAUCUGUUUAGUUUUGAGCUUUUCUUUAACGCACUUUUCAGUUAACAAGUCAACAUCAAUUUCUUUUGCUGUAAAAAAGCUUGAGGAAGGUGGCUUGAGAUUCGUCUUAAGUGUUUAUAGCCUCUUGCCUAUGCAGUCGGAGAGAUUGAGGUCUGCAGCGUAGAUCCUUCGGGGCUAAAUGCAUUUGUGCUAAGUUAUAGCAUUUCAUAGACAACUUGUUGACUAUGAUUUGUCUUGUAGCUUACUCGCUUAUGUUAUUUUACCUACGCUUAGGAUGUUGAUAUCGCGCUCUCACUG